This 446-nucleotide ribosomal RNA is filed under the name uncultured bacterium. RNAcentral's name for it is "partial 16S ribosomal RNA". It matches the Rfam family "Bacterial small subunit ribosomal RNA", at positions 338 to 795 of the family's 1533-position model. The record is from RNAcentral.
CAGACGGGUGACAGCAGGGGAGAAUCAGGGACAAUGGGGGAAAGAAGGAAGGAGAGAAGAAGAGGGGGGGAAUGAAGGUCUUCGGAUCGUAAACCUCUGUUAUGUGGGAGCAAAUUAAAAAGCUAGUCCCCCAAGAGGAAUAGACGGCUAACUCUGGGCCAGCAGCUGCGGUAAUACAGAGGUCUCAAGCGUUGUUCGGAAUCACGGGGCGUAAAGCGUGCGUAGGCUGUUUCGUAAGUCGUGUGUGAAAGGCGCGGGCUCAACCCGCGGACGGCACAUGAUACUGGGAGACUAGAGUAAUGGAGGGGGAACCGGAAUGCUCGGUGUAGCAGUGAAAUGCGUAGAUAUCGAGAGGAACACUCGUGGCGAAGGCGGGUUCCUGGACAUUAACUGACGCUGAGGCACGAAGGCCAGGGGAGCGAAAGGGAUUAGAUACCCCUGUAGUC